RNAcentral lists this ribosomal RNA (253 nucleotides) under uncultured bacterium. Its description in RNAcentral is "partial 16S ribosomal RNA". It matches the Rfam family "Bacterial small subunit ribosomal RNA", at positions 524 to 776 of the family's 1533-position model. The record is from RNAcentral.
UACAGAGGUCUCAAGCGUUGUCCGGAUUUAUUGGGCGUAAAGAGCGUGUAGGCGGCUUGACAGGUCUGCUGUGAAAACUCGAGGCUCAACCUCGAGAUGUCGGCGGAAACCGUCUGGCUAGAGUCCGGAAGAGGAGAGUGGAAUUCCUGGUGUAGCGGUGAAAUGCGCAGAUAUCAGGAAGAACACCCGUGGCGAAGGCGGCUCUCUGGGACGGUACUGACGCUGAGACGCGAAAGCGUGGGGAGCGAACAGG